Molecule: small RNA, 124 nt
Filed under: Marmota monax (woodchuck)
Lineage: Eukaryota; Metazoa; Chordata; Mammalia; Rodentia; Sciuridae
Source: RNAcentral
GCUGGGCACGGUGGUGCACGCCUGUCAUCCCAGCAGCUGAGGAGGCUGAGGCAGGAGGAUCGCAAGUUCAAAGCCAGCCUCAGCAACAGUGAGGCCUAAGCCACUCAGUGAGACCCUGUCUCUA